This 301-nucleotide ribosomal RNA is filed under the name uncultured bacterium. RNAcentral's name for it is "partial 16S ribosomal RNA". It matches the Rfam family "Bacterial small subunit ribosomal RNA", at positions 509 to 809 of the family's 1533-position model. The record is from RNAcentral.
CAGUCGCCGCGGGAAUACGUAGGGUGCGAGCGUUAAUCGGAAUUACUGGGCGUAAAGCGUGCGCAGGCGGUUAUAUAAGACAGAUGUGAAAUCCCCGGGCUCAACCUGGGACCUGCAUUUGUGACUGUAUAGCUAGAGUACGGUAGAGGGGGAUGGAAUUCCGCGUGUAGCAGUGAAAUGCGUAGAUAUGCGGAGGAACACCGAUGGCGAAGGCGAUCCCCUGGACCUGUACUGACGCUCAUGCACGAAAGCGUGGGGAGCAAACAGGAUUAGAUACCCCUGUAGUCCCUGUCUCUUAUAA